UGUGUGACAAGAGGAGGGCGCUUUAUGUGACUGGAAGGACUUUGGACCUGUGUGCAUGGCAUUCUGGGAAGAAGACAGCAAGAAAUGAAUGGCCGAUGCUUUGUGGGAGGACUGCACUGUAUUUUUUUUAUAGUUACAGAACUGUGUGUUUCUGAGUUUCCCAGGGAGGUGCCCAUCAGGACUGUAGACAGAGUGGAUGUUUUGUUCUUUUUUUCAUUAACGAAGACUCCGAUUGGUUUUUUUUUUGGUCUGCUGAGUGCUGGAUCUGCGUCGAAUCAUCAGCGGUUUCAACCAGGUUUCCCGUCAGAGGCGUGGCGGAGUUGAAGGGGAUGUUAAUCCUCCACUCUCAUCACCUGCUGGAGAAGUGCACAUACCUGGAGAGGAGCCUGAACCGCGCGCAGUAACAGUUCUUUACACACACACUACCCGGGUAGCACACACAUGUACACAAAUCGACUUUGACUGACCUGGAUGUGGAUUAAACUGACUCCUUUGACUUGA
Stegastes partitus (bicolor damselfish) is the source of this 501-nucleotide long non-coding RNA. RefSeq lists it as uncharacterized. NCBI's taxonomy places the organism in Eukaryota, Metazoa, Chordata, Actinopteri, Pomacentridae. The record is from RefSeq and is a predicted model, not a curated record. The transcript is spliced from 2 exons.